GUAGGGAGCAAGCGUUGUCCGGAAUCAUUGGGCGUAAAGCGCGCGUAGGCGGCCCCGUAAGUCCGCUGUGAAAGUCAAAGGCUCAACCUUUGAAAGCCGGUGGAUACUGUGGGGCUAGAGUACGGAAGAGGCGAGUGGAAUUCCUGGUGUAGCGGUGGAAUGCGCAGAUAUCAGGAGGAACACCAAUAGCGAAGGCAGCUCGCUGGGACGUUACUGACGCUGAGGCGCGAAAGCGUGGGGAGCGAACAGGAUUAGAUACCCUGGUAGUCCACGCCGUAAACGAUGGGUACUAGGUGUGGGAGGUGUCGACUCCUCCCGUGCCGUCGCUAACGCACUAAGUACCCCGCCUGGGGAGUACGGCCGCAAGGCUAAA
This 373-nucleotide ribosomal RNA is filed under the name uncultured bacterium. RNAcentral describes it as "bacterial SSU rRNA". It matches the Rfam family "Bacterial small subunit ribosomal RNA", at positions 527 to 898 of the family's 1533-position model. The record is from RNAcentral.